AAGAAAGGAAGAAUGCCACUGAUCUUGACCAACAUUAUGACCAUAAAGAAAUCCCAAAUAGCUUAAAACUCCUACCAAAUGAAUCAGCUUCUAGGAUCUUCAAACUGAAACUGAAAGGAGGGUAAGAUGCAAGUUUUUCCAUGAGUGAAGCUUAUGUAUAUCACAUAUGUUGAGGUGCAUCUUCUAUAAUGAAAUUGUUAACAUGGAAAUUCAAUACAAAUACAUACAUAGGUACAUACAUACAUAGGUACAUACAUAGGUACAUACAUACAUACAUACAUACAUACAUACAUACAUACAUACAUACAUACAUACAUAAGUAUAGCUAGAU
RNAcentral lists this long non-coding RNA (331 nucleotides) under Vitis vinifera (wine grape). RNAcentral describes it as "long non-coding RNA (VVIN_LNC003242)". Lineage: Eukaryota; Viridiplantae; Streptophyta; Magnoliopsida; Vitales; Vitaceae. The record is from RNAcentral.